CCCUUAGAUGUUCUGGGCCGCACGCGUGCUACACUGAACGGUUCAAUGGGUAAGGUAGUGCGAAAGCAUGACCUAAUCUCGAAAUCCGUUCGUGCUGGGGAUAGAAGCUUGCAAUUAUCCUUCUUGAACGAGGAAUACCUUGUAAGCGUGAGUCAUCAUCUCACGCUGAAUACGUCCCUGCCCUUUGUACACACCGCCCGUCGCUCCUACCGAUUGAGUGUUCCGGUGAGGCUUUGGGAGAAUGGCCUCAACAUGAGUUUAUCGUGUUUUGCCGUUUGAACUUAGUCAAACCUUAUCACUUAGAGGAAGGGGAAGUCGUAACA
RNAcentral lists this ribosomal RNA (323 nucleotides) under uncultured eukaryote. Its description in RNAcentral is "partial 18S ribosomal RNA". It matches the Rfam family "Eukaryotic small subunit ribosomal RNA", at positions 1470 to 1796 of the family's 1831-position model. The record is from RNAcentral.